AAAAAGGUUUUUUUGGGGGGUUUUUUUACUGUAAAAACCACAAACAUGCUUAAAGAAUCAUUUU
Oreochromis niloticus (Nile tilapia) is the source of this 64-nucleotide non-coding RNA. The record is from Rfam. NCBI's taxonomy places the organism in Eukaryota, Metazoa, Chordata, Actinopteri, Cichliformes, Cichlidae.